AAUUUUCACUGAUGAAUCUAAAAAAGACUUCAGAAUACAAUCUUAUCAAUGUCACUGUGAUUGGGAUACAGGCACCUUUUAUGAACCUGUUUGAUAACUUUGUCAUCUCCUUCUGAAAGUUGGCUACCAACAAGUGCAUCUCAAUAUGAGGAUCUCAUGACACUGUAAUUCGGGUGUCCACUGGUCUGUAGGUAUGGUGACUGUCACCUCUACCUCUUGUAUUCAUGCUGCCCUUGACUUUCUCCCAAUUCUCACUGGUGAGCACUGGGCUGACCCGUCUGAUGCUGCUGUGGCAAGCAUUCCACAGCUGCCUACUCUAUACACAGGCUGAGGAGGGCAGCUGAGUGGUUGUGCAAAAUCUAUUUGCACAAAUAUAUCUUCCCCAUUUACACCCAGUCAUACAUUCAAGCAUGUAAAGAAUGCUUUACACUUGGGUGGUAGGUGCUUUAUAUACAUUAUUUUUAAAAUUCUACACUAAACGUUUGAUAUAAGUAUUAUUGUCGAUAUUCUACAUCUUAGAAAAUUAAUUUCAGAGAAAUUAAAUAUCUUGCCCAAGCCACAUAGUCAGUAAGGGACGGAGAUGGGAUCUGAAUAGGUGUUUCUGACUACUGCAUUGGCAUUUCCCACUAUAUGCUGUGUGUCCCCCACUCCAUGUUUGGGCAAGAUAGUUUAGUGGUUCAGAGUAGGGACUGUGAAGUUAUCUGUCUGGUUUCGAAACCGCUUCCCAGGUUAUGGCCUAUUUGUCAUCUCUAUGCUUUAGUGCUAUGAUCUGCAAAAUGGGUAUAAAAACAGUGUAUAACUCACAGGGUUGGUAUAAGCAUUAAAUGUGCUAGUAUGUUAAAGUGCUUAGGAUAAUGCUUGCUAUAUAGUAAAUUCCAUUAAAUUAGCUAUUAUUAUUAUUUUAUUUUGAUCAUGCAAUAAAAAGAUCUUACUGAAAGGCAAAUGAUGUAAAGGGAGGAAGAGAGGUAGUCACACACUAAUUCAAUAGCCCAUUAUAGAGUCUGAGAAUUGAUAACUAGUCACCUAGCAGACCUGCAGGGAAAUGGAGACAUCGAGCACGUCUGUUUGACUAUUGGACAAGGGAGAUGGAGAAGUGCUACAGGUGCUGAUCGCUGGGGAGCAAGGGACACCAGAAGCCUAGAGAGGGUUGGAUCAACAAGAAGGAAGCACACGGCUUCUGCUUUAAAGUUUUCCUGAAAGUCAGCUCUGAUUGUAUUUUAUAUUAUGUUGUUGUUGUUGUCGUUGCUGUCAUUGUCAUUGUUGUUGUUGUUAGCCUUGUGGCAUCAUUUUGGUCCACUCUAUUUUAAAGAUAACAAUUGUCUUAUGUUGAUCCACUACUCUCCCAGGAUGGUCGUUCAAUAAAAAAAUUUUUUUGCUUUAACUCGGGCAUACUAAUGGAAUUUUGAAACAUCAUUAUUCAUUUUUAUUUAACAUCAAAUAUGUGGGGGAACAAUCAUAAAACUAUUUGAAGUUAUAUAUGGGACCUCUAUUCAAUCUAGGCCUUAAAUUUUCACUAUUUCCUAAUUUGAGUCAAUAUCUGGUGCCUAAUAAAGUCC
Molecule: long non-coding RNA, 1556 nt
Organism: Equus asinus (donkey)
Lineage: Eukaryota; Metazoa; Chordata; Mammalia; Perissodactyla; Equidae
Source: Ensembl